This 593-nucleotide ribosomal RNA is filed under the name uncultured bacterium. RNAcentral's name for it is "bacterial SSU rRNA". It matches the Rfam family "Bacterial small subunit ribosomal RNA", at positions 8 to 570 of the family's 1533-position model. RNAcentral also lists the same sequence under 1 other name. The record is from RNAcentral.
AGAGUUUGAUCCUGGCUCAGGACGAACGCUGGCGGCGUGCUUAACACAUGCAAGUCGAACGAAGAGCGAUGGAAGCUUGCUUCUAUCAAUCUUAGUGGCGAACGGGUGAGUAACGCGUAAUCAACCUGCCCUUCAGAGGGGGACAACAGUUGGAAACGACUGCUAAUACCGCAUACGAUCCAAUCUCGGCAUCGAGACUGGAUGAAAGGUGGCCUCUAUUUAUAAGCUAUCACUGAAGGAGGGGAUUGCGUCUGAUUAGCUAGUUGGAGGGGUAACGGCCCACCAAGGCGAUGAUCAGUAGCCGGUCUGAGAGGAUGAACGGCCACAUUGGGACUGAGACACGGCCCAGACUCCUACGGGAGGCAGCAGUGGGGAAUCUUCCGCAAUGGACGAAAGUCUGACGGAGCAACGCCGCGUGAGUGAUGACGGCCUUCGGGUUGUAAAGCUCUGUUAAUCGGGACGAAUGGUUCUUGUGCAAAUAGUGCGAGGAUUUGACGGUACCGGAAUAGAAAGCCACGGCUAACUACGUGCCAGCAGCCGCGGUAAUACGUAGGUGGCAAGCGUUGUCCGGAAUUAUUGGGCGUAAAGCGCGC